CAGAAACUAGGUUAAGAUAAAACUUUAGGUUUCCAAAACCUAGGAUAGGGAGGCGUUCUCUGUUUCUGG
Molecule: transfer RNA, 69 nt
Filed under: Azumapecten farreri
Lineage: Eukaryota; Metazoa; Mollusca; Bivalvia; Pectinida; Pectinidae
Description: tRNA-Trp
Source: RNAcentral